RNAcentral lists this transfer RNA (73 nucleotides) under Stegodyphus mimosarum. RNAcentral's name for it is "tRNA-Thr for anticodon CGU". It matches the Rfam family "tRNA". From Rfam's summary of the family: Transfer RNA (tRNA) molecules are approximately 80 nucleotides in length. Their secondary structure includes four short double-helical elements and three loops (D, anti-codon, and T loops). Lineage: Eukaryota; Metazoa; Arthropoda; Arachnida; Araneae; Eresidae. The record is from Rfam by way of RNAcentral.
GCCUUCGUGGUAUAGUGGUCAGCACGCUCGACGCGUAUUCGAGAGGUCCGUGGUUCGAUUCCCGGCGAGGGCA